CUGUUCAUUGCCAUUGGCUCUUUUGGGAAGGAAGUGAGAUGUAAAUUAUAUAAAAAUAUAAAAUUUAUAUCCCACUUUCUUCCCAAAGGAGCCAAUGGCAAUGAAGCA
This is a non-coding RNA of Podarcis lilfordi (Lilford's wall lizard), 108 nucleotides long. The record is from the annotation of a GenBank genome assembly. NCBI's taxonomy places the organism in Eukaryota, Metazoa, Chordata, Lepidosauria, Squamata, Lacertidae.